UACAGAGGGUGCGAGCGUUAAUCGGAAUUACUGGGCGUAAAGCGCGCGUAGGCGGCUUUUCAAGUCGAUUGUGAAAUCCCCGGGCUUAACCUGGGAACUGCAGUCGAGACUGUCUAGCUAGAGUAUGGCAGAGGAAGGUGGAAUUCCACGUGUAGCGGUGAAAUGCGUAGAGAUGUGGAGGAACACCGAUGGCGAAGGCAGCCUUCUGGGCCAACACUGACGCUCAUGCACGAAAGCGUGGGGAGCAAACAGG
Molecule: ribosomal RNA, 253 nt
Filed under: uncultured bacterium
Lineage: Bacteria
Description: partial 16S ribosomal RNA
Rfam family: Bacterial small subunit ribosomal RNA
Source: RNAcentral